GACGAACGCUGGCGGCGUGCUUAAAACAUGCAAGUCGAACGGACUUCUCAUGAAGCUUGCGAUUGAGAAGUUAGUGGCGGACGGGUGAGUAACGCGUGGGCAACCUGCCCCUGAGCCCGGGAUAACAGUUCGAAAGGACUGCUAAGACCGGAUAUACUUGCGGUGAAGCAUUUCACUGCAAGGAAAGGGAACGCUCAGGGAUGGGCCCGCGUCCCAUUAGCUAGUUGGUGAGGUAACGACCCACCAAGGCGACGAUAAGUAGCCAACCUGAGAGGGUGAACGGCCACACUGGGACUGAGACACGGCCCAGACUCCUACGGGAGGCAGCAGUUGGGAAUCUUCGGCAAUGGGCGCAAGCCUGACCGAGCAACGCCGCGUGAGUGAUGAAGGUUUUCGGAUUGUAAAGCUCUGUCUUCCGGGACGAUAAUGACGGUACCGGAGGAGGAAGCCACGGCUAACUACGUGCCAGCAGCCGCGGUAAGACGUAGCGUG
This 492-nucleotide ribosomal RNA is filed under the name uncultured bacterium. Its description in RNAcentral is "bacterial SSU rRNA". It matches the Rfam family "Bacterial small subunit ribosomal RNA", at positions 28 to 533 of the family's 1533-position model. The record is from RNAcentral.